This 219-nucleotide ribosomal RNA is filed under the name uncultured bacterium. RNAcentral describes it as "partial 16S ribosomal RNA". It matches the Rfam family "Bacterial small subunit ribosomal RNA", at positions 1282 to 1500 of the family's 1533-position model. The record is from RNAcentral.
AACGUCUCAGUUCGGAUUGUAGUCUGCAACUCGACUACAUGAAGCUGGAAUCGCUAGUAAUCGCAGAUCAGAAUGCUGCGGUGAAUACGUUCCCGGGUCUUGUACACACCGCCCGUCACACCAUGGGAGUCGGAAAUGCCCGAAGCCGGUGACCCAACCAAAAGGAGGGAGCCGUCGAAGGCAGGUCUGAUAACUGGGGUGAAGUCGUAACAAGGUAUC